GUUCAUAUAUUUUAAGAGUUAUUUUGAUGUGGAAAUUACACAAUACCCUAUUUUUAAAAUUUACAUUUCAUAAAACAUAUUUCAAGUUUCAUAUUUCAAAAUUCAGGUUAUAUUAAGAUUUAAUAUUGUAGUAAAUAAUAUAUUACUAAUUAAAUCAAUUCAUCCCCAAAUCAAUGAAGCCAUUGCCAUUGAUGAAAAUUCCCGACUCAAGGAUUGCCUUUACGAGAAAGACGAGGCCUUACUUUUUCUUACUCGAGAGAAUGAACGCCUUGGAAUUAAUGGGGCUUCUGCUCGUGAGAAUAUGAAUGAAUACACGAAGUUGCUUUCUACAGCAUCAAUAGAAUUGAAGAUUGAGGAUAAGGGGCAGUAUAUAAUGCUGAAUCCACCAGAUUCAGUGGAACAGGAACAUGGUGACGAGAAUAUGAACAAAACUUUCAGCUUCAAUCUUGAAGAUCUAAAGUUCAUGAAUGACCUAAAGAUGCAUAUGGAAAAGAUUUAGAUGAAAUCCCAAGAACGCAGAGCCCUCAAAAGGCUCAAUAUUUGAUGCUAAUGCUGAAACACCGAAGGCAGAGCCUCGUACACCACAAUCAGUUUCUUCGCAUCAGAGAUUAUAUUCUUCUCCCUUCACGGAUGAUGGAGGAACAUCAAAUUUAGAAGAUUUUGAUCAUUUAGACAGUACACAUGAUGAUUCAAAUAGUGAUAGAAAUUCCCACAGAAGGAGAACAAUGUUUCACCAGGUUGGAGAUCUCCUAAUGAUCACAAGAAGUUUCCACAACAAAAAACCAUCCACUGAGUAUCACAAAAAGGAAUCAUCCACUGAGAAUCACUAAAAGGAAUCAUUCGCUGCCACGGAGAAUCACAAUAGAAAUCCACUGAGAAUCAAAAAAAGGAACCAUUCAAUGAGUAGGACCUUGUUAUACAGCCUUGGCUGAACGGGAUAAAAUUAUUUUGGUAGUGUUAAUCUUCAUAUAAGUACAGGGAAAAUGUGUUCCACGAACCUAGAAUUACAAGUUUAACUUAGUUUCUA
Molecule: long non-coding RNA, 1027 nt
Filed under: Olea europaea subsp. europaea
Lineage: Eukaryota; Viridiplantae; Streptophyta; Magnoliopsida; Lamiales; Oleaceae
Source: RNAcentral